RNAcentral lists this ribosomal RNA (461 nucleotides) under Escherichia coli. RNAcentral describes it as "partial 23S ribosomal RNA". It matches the Rfam family "Bacterial large subunit ribosomal RNA", at positions 2180 to 2640 of the family's 2925-position model. Lineage: Bacteria; Pseudomonadati; Pseudomonadota; Gammaproteobacteria; Enterobacterales; Enterobacteriaceae. RNAcentral also lists the same sequence under 4 other names. The record is from RNAcentral.
AUGGAGCCGACCUUGAAAUACCACCCUUUAAUGUUUGAUGUUCUAACGUUGACCCGUAAUCCGGGUUGCGGACAGUGUCUGGUGGGUAGUUUGACUGGGGCGGUCUCCUCCUAAAGAGUAACGGAGGAGCACGAAGGUUGGCUAAUCCUGGUCGGACAUCAGGAGGUUAGUGCAAUGGCAUAAGCCAGCUUGACUGCGAGCGUGACGGCGCGAGCAGGUGCGAAAGCAGGUCAUAGUGAUCCGGUGGUUCUGAAUGGAAGGGCCAUCGCUCAACGGAUAAAAGGUACUCCGGGGAUAACAGGCUGAUACCGCCCAAGAGUUCAUAUCGACGGCGGUGUUUGGCACCUCGAUGUCGGCUCAUCACAUCCUGGGGCUGAAGUAGGUCCCAAGGGUAUGGCUGUUCGCCAUUUAAAGUGGUACGCGAGCUGGGUUUAGAACGUCGUGAGACAGUUCGGUCCCUA